AACGAACGCUGGCGGCAUGCCUAACACAUGCAAGUCGAACGAGACCUUCGGGUCUAGUGGCGCACGGGUGCGUAACGCGUGGGAACCUGCCCUUAGGUUCGGCAUAACUCCCCGAAAGGGGUGCUAAUACCGGCUAAUGUAUUCGGACCAAAGAUUUAACGCGUUUGGAUGGGCCCGCGUUGGAUUGGCUUGUUGUUAGGGUAAAAGCCUACCAAGGCGACGAGCCAUAGCUGGUCUGAGAGGAUGCUCAGCCACACUGGGACUGAGACACGGCCCAGACUCUUACGGGAGGCAGCAGUGGGGAAUAUUGGACAAUGGGCGAAAGCCUGAUCCAGCAAUGCCGCGUGAGUGAUGAAGGCCUUAGGGUUGUAAAGCUCUUUUACCCGGGAUGAUAAUGACAGUACCGGGAGAAUAAGCUCCGGCUAACUCCGUG
Molecule: ribosomal RNA, 433 nt
Filed under: uncultured bacterium
Lineage: Bacteria
Description: partial 16S ribosomal RNA
Rfam family: Bacterial small subunit ribosomal RNA
Source: RNAcentral